AGAGUUUGAUCAUGGCUCAGGAUGAACGCUAGCGGCAGGCCUAACACAUGCAAGUCGAGGGGCAUCGGGAUUGAAGCUUGCUUCAAUUGCCGGCGACCGGCGCACGGGUGCGUAACGCGUAUGUAACCUACCUAUAACAGGGGCAUAACACUGAGAAAUUGGUACUAAUUCCCCAUAAUAUUCGGAGAGGCAUCUCUCCGGGUUGAAAACUCCGGUGGUUAUAGAUGGACAUGCGUUGUAUUAGCUAGUUGGUGAGGUAACGGCUCACCAAGGCAACGAUACAUAGGGGGACUGAGAGGUUAACCCCCCACACUGGUACUGAGACACGGACCAGACUCCUACGGGAGGCAGCAGUGAGGAAUAUUGGUCAAUGGACGCAAGUCUGAACCAGCCAUGCCGCGUGCAGGAAGACGGCUCUAUGAGUUGUAAACUGCUUUUGUACGAGGGUAAACUCACCUACGUGUAGGUGACUGAAAGUAUCGUACGAAUAAGGAUCGGCU
Molecule: ribosomal RNA, 500 nt
Filed under: uncultured bacterium
Lineage: Bacteria
Description: bacterial SSU rRNA
Rfam family: Bacterial small subunit ribosomal RNA
Source: RNAcentral